Molecule: long non-coding RNA, 2595 nt
Organism: Passer domesticus (house sparrow)
Lineage: Eukaryota; Metazoa; Chordata; Aves; Passeriformes; Passeridae
Exons: 4
Source: RefSeq, a predicted model, not a curated record
UCUCACUGGUGCGGGAGCUGGGUGGUGUCAAAGAUCAAAGAGCUAGCCAGGAAAACUCCAUUUUCAAAGAGGGGCUCAAGGAAUGAGCUCUCUCUCUUGCCACAUGAACAUCAGGUAUGUGUCUUGCCUCAGUAGCUGUCUAGGAAUUUUGAGUAGUUAAUGAAUGAAGAGAAGCAGGUUCCUCUUAGGAUGGCUCAUCUCAGCUGACACUUUUUUGGAAUGAGAUGAAUCACAUCCCUCGGAUAUCCUUCUUCCACUUAUGGUUAGAAAAAGAGCCCAUAAUACAAGGUGAGUUUAGCAAACUGACAGCUGUACCUUAUCAAUGAGAAGAAGGAACUGAAAGACAGUGAACCUCAGGUGAAGGGAAUUAAUGGGGCACCAUCAGAGACUGACAGAGCUGUUAGUUCUGCUUCUGCUACAGCCAGCCAGGUACUGAACCACUGCAUUUCCACAUAAAAACAGUCAGGAUCAGCUACACCAUAUAUAUAUGAUGACUUCGAAAUAUUCUACAGGUUUCAAAUGUGUGUGAACCCUGCACAGAUGCUGUGUCCUUCCAGAGACUUAAACAGAGCUCAGAACCUGGAGAACACAGCUGCUACCUGCCCAUGUCUGCCAGACACCAAGGUUGGCUGUCUGAAAUCUCUUUGCCUUCAAGUAUUUUACAUUUUAUAUUCUAGUUGGAUUCUGUGAAGGAAAAUGUCAAUACAUGCUGACCUAAAAAUGCUCAUCCCAUCAGAUGUCAUUAAUGAAAUCUGAUCUCCAAUAUGCAGAGGAAAUAGCUAUGCUAUAAGAUUAUUGUCAUCUUACUGACUUGAAUGAAACUGUCCUCAAAUCCUUGCAUUUUCUAAUCAGUUAGAUCCCCCCCAACCACCCCAAUAAUGACUAAUUCAGUUUUUCCAGAAGUGAUAAUAUUUAAGUACCUAAAAAAAAAUAUUUGAAAAGUUGCCUAGAACAUAUUCAUGUACCUUAAUUAUUAAGGUGUUCAUGUAUCAAGGAAAUUUCAUAAGUUUUCAAAUGGACCAUAAAAUACAAAGAUCGUAAUAGAAUUCCACUUGUUGUAUUUACAGAGAUUUCAAAGUGUCCUAUUUUGUACCUGAAUUAUUCCAUUACAAUCAAGGAGAAAUAAUAUAGACCCCAAUGACUUUUGGCUCCAACACUAAGUUCUGUACAGGAAAAAAACCCAUAACACAUCUUCCCAAUUUUCAAGCAAUAUUUCAGGCAACAAAUUAUUAUUUUUUAAAUUAGAAACAGUUCAAACAGGUCUGUUAUCAGUUACUUUUACCAAGGGUUAAAGGAAUCCCCAAAACUUUUGAUUCUUUAAUAUAGUUCUUUUUUUCCAAAGGUUUUUUUUUUAAAUUUUUGUUUUUGUUAUUAUUUUUGUUGGAAUGUGGAGCAAAAAUAGGGAUUUAAGGCUCAAUUUCUGCUUGCUGAAAUGUUUUCAAGCUUUAGUCAUUAAUAAAUUAGAUCAUUUGCAAUUUAAUACCUUCAAUUUCAGUUGAAUUUUAAGUUGCAUUUUUACAGUACAAGUACAGGUAAUGUUGCUUUUUUCAGACUUUUCAUACAGAGACUUGAAGUCAUAUUUACCUAAUUUUAUAUGGUAAUCCUCAAACAUCAGAAUUAUAAACCUGGAUAAAGAUUUAAACCUGGAUAAUAAUUAAAACCUGGAUAAAAAAAACCCUGGAUAAUAAUAUUUAAUCGGCAUUUUUCUCUGUUUAAUGUAAAUUUGAACAAUCACCUGUUUAUUUUUUCUCAAAGAAACCUGAAUAUUCUCAUACAAGAUUUUCUCAGUCACACCUUAUGUAUGAUCUAGUUAGGUUUUUGGAAUAGAACAUGCUUCAAGGAAUUUGAAAUAAAGUCUGUGCAAUUUUUGAGAGUGCUCAUAGUGGUUUUCUUUCUUUAAGCUGACAUCUAAAGAUUUUUCUGUAUUAUUUUACAUCAUAUUUCUAUGUUGUAACAUACUACAUUGCAAAACUAAUUGCAGAAGAUUAUUGUUUUGUUCUUUGAAUUCCUUUAUCCUUUCCAUUGAAUAAGAAAGUCAAGGUGUCAGAUCAGAUUAGGUCAGAGCAAAGUACAAUGCAGUUCAGCAUCUCCUUUGAAAACAGUGAUACCUGAUGCUUCAGAAGUUGUUUACAAAAUCUUGGAAAUCUGAAAUAAUUUGAUUACACAACUAUCUUUUUUAUUUAACUACCUCAAGAGAUUGAUUGAUCUAAUUUAAGUAAUUUAGGAAAUAUUUUGUUUACAUCUAUUUCCUUUUCCUGUGUUACCCAAUACUUGGAGAAAACAGGCUUUAUCUAUGUGCCCAUGUCACUCUUUAAACCACUGCAGUGAAGCUCUGUGACAAAUCAUUCCAAAUUGAUGUCCAAGCCAUCUAAAAGACAGAUAAUGUUAUACUGUGAGAAAACCCACUUCCAUCAGUUCAUCUUUUUUAACAUUGAAUUAUUAACAACUCCUCAUAAUGAUUCUUAUGGUCUUGGAAGAAUUUGUACACACCUACCUAGAAAGUACUUCGAAAUAACAAGUGACUAAAGAAAUUCUGCUUGCUGCAGUACCCAGUUUCACAGGCAGAAAAACGAGAUCUCUGUAAUCCUGUUUGCU